CGGUCCGGAUAAUUGCUGGCAUUAGCUAGAGGAAAGUCCAUGCUCGCACAGACUGUGAUGUCUGUAGUGAUUACGCUAGUAGAAAAAAUAAUACUAGGGAUGCAGGAGUGCAUUACGGCGAUCGGAUGCCUAA
This 133-nucleotide RNase P RNA is filed under the name Bacilli bacterium. RNAcentral's name for it is "partial RNase P RNA component class B". It matches the Rfam family "Bacterial RNase P class B", at positions 1 to 140 of the family's 365-position model. From Rfam's summary of the family: Ribonuclease P (RNase P) is a ubiquitous endoribonuclease, found in archaea, bacteria and eukarya as well as chloroplasts and mitochondria. Its best characterised activity is the generation of mature 5'-ends of tRNAs by cleaving the 5'-leader elements of precursor-tRNAs. Lineage: Bacteria; Bacillati; Bacillota; Bacilli. The record is from RNAcentral.